Molecule: ribosomal RNA, 680 nt
Filed under: uncultured Anoxybacillus sp.
Lineage: Bacteria; Bacillati; Bacillota; Bacilli; Caryophanales; Anoxybacillaceae
Description: bacterial SSU rRNA
Rfam family: Bacterial small subunit ribosomal RNA
Source: RNAcentral
AGAGUUUGAUCCUGGCUCAGGACGAACGCUGGCGGCGUGCCUAAUACAUGCAAGUCGAGCGGACGAAUCGAAAGCUUGCUUUUGAUUCGUUAGCGGCGGACGGGUGAGUAACACGUGGGCAACCUGCCCUGUAGACGGGGAUAACACCGAGAAAUCGGUGCUAAUACCGGAUAACACGAAAUGUCGCAUGACGUUUCGUUGAAAGACGGCGCAAGCUGUCGCUACAGGAUGGGCCCGCGGCGCAUUAGCUAGUUGGUGAGGUAACGGCUCACCAAGGCGACGAUGCGUAGCCGACCUGAGAGGGUGAUCGGCCACACUGGGACUGAGACACGGCCCAGACUCCUACGGGAGGCAGCAGUAGGGAAUCUUCCGCAAUGGACGAAAGUCUGACGGAGCAACGCCGCGUGAGCGAAGAAGGCCUUCGGGUCGUAAAGCUCUGUUGUUAGGGAAGAACAAGUAACGCAGUAACUGGCGUUACCGUGACGGUACCUAACGAGAAAGCCACGGCUAACUACGUGCCAGCAGCCGCGGUAAUACGUAGGUGGCAAGCGUUGUCCGGAAUUAUUGGGCGUAAAGCGCGCGCAGGCGGUUCCUUAAGUCUGAUGUGAAAGCCCACGGCUCAACCGUGGAGGGUCAUUGGAAACUGGGGGACUUGAGUGCAGAAGAGGAGAGUGGAAUUC